RNAcentral lists this unclassified non-coding RNA (173 nucleotides) under soil metagenome. RNAcentral's name for it is "partial internal transcribed spacer 1". The record is from RNAcentral.
CAAAAGUUAAACACUUGGGGAACGGACUCGCCUUCCGGGGCUCGAGGCCUGACUCCAUUUGUAACGAACUUUCAACCACUUGUGAAUUUGUAACAAAUUUUCUCACCAAUUGACUGUUAACGAAGUCUGAUUCAAAUUGUAUUGGUGUUUAUAGACACUAGUAAAAUAUGAAA